GGGUCAGUAGGUUGGUCGUGCCACCGGUACGUACUGGUCUCACUGAUUCCUCCUUCCUGAAGAACCGUAAUGCCAUUAAUUUGGUGUUGCUGGGAAACAGGACUGUUACUUUGAAAAAAUUAGAGUGUUUAAAGCAAGCUAACGCUUGAAUACAUUAGCAUGGAAUAAUGAAAUAGGACGAUCGAUCAUAUUUUGUUGGUUUCUAGGAUUGACGUA
RNAcentral lists this ribosomal RNA (216 nucleotides) under Glomeromycotina sp. RNAcentral's name for it is "partial small subunit ribosomal RNA". The stretch from base 40 to 216 matches the Rfam family "Eukaryotic small subunit ribosomal RNA", at positions 686 to 864 of the family's 1831-position model. The record is from RNAcentral. Lineage: Eukaryota; Fungi; Glomeromycota.